UAGCCGUAAACGAUACUCGCUAGGUGUCGGCCACGGUGCGACCGUUGUCGGUGCCGUAGGGAAGCCGUGAAGCGAGCCACCUGGGAAGUACGGCCGCAAGGCUGAAACUUAAAGGAAUUGGCGGGGGAGCACUACAACGGGUGGAGCUUGCGGUUUAAUUGGAUUCAACGCCGGAAAUCUUACCGGGACCGACAGCAACAUGAAGGCCAGGCUGAAGACUUUGCCGGAUUAGCUGAGAGGUGGUGCAUGGCGUAGUCGUGU
Molecule: ribosomal RNA, 261 nt
Filed under: uncultured archaeon
Lineage: Archaea
Description: partial 16S ribosomal RNA
Rfam family: Archaeal small subunit ribosomal RNA
Source: RNAcentral